UGCCCCCAAACGUUCGGAUUAUAUAGAUCAUAUAUAGAUCUCAUAGCAGAAACAGGUUUUAUCUUUACAAUCAUCUUUUUUUUCUUUUUCAUUUAGUGUCCUGACUUGUAAUCGAGACCCAAAAAGACCAGGGAGACUUUACGAUUGCAUCUUUAACAGGAAAAAAGGCAAAGGAGAGAUAAAAAGAAGGCUGGUUACACCGAUCCCUUGGGAUAAACUUCGUGCCCGAUUCCCUAGCCCAUUGAUCCCACCUCAUGUCCAACAUGGUGCGGAACGUCCGCUAGUGCCUUCUGCCCCCACAAAGGUGUCUCCCGAUAAAAGCUGUUUUGGAGCAGCCGUCUUCAGAGGUAGUGCAAGCCGGUACGAGGAGAACAAAAGAUGCCCACAUGAUUUGCCCUUUGAGCCAAAAUUACCAUCUCAACGGCCUAAGGUCCCGAUGCAAAAGGAUUCCAUCAGUG
Long non-coding RNA from Spea bombifrons (plains spadefoot toad), 458 nucleotides. RefSeq lists it as uncharacterized. The transcript has 3 exons. Lineage: Eukaryota; Metazoa; Chordata; Amphibia; Anura; Pelobatidae. The record is from RefSeq and is a predicted model, not a curated record.